This 493-nucleotide ribosomal RNA is filed under the name uncultured bacterium. Its description in RNAcentral is "partial 16S ribosomal RNA". It matches the Rfam family "Bacterial small subunit ribosomal RNA", at positions 29 to 523 of the family's 1533-position model. The record is from RNAcentral.
AUUGAACGCUGGCGGCAUGCUUUACACAUGCAAGUCGAACGGUAACAGGUUAAGCUGACGAGUGGCGAACGGGUGAGUAAUGCAUCGGAACGUGCCCGGUCGUGGGGGAUAACGCAGCGAAAGCUGCGCUAAUACCGCAUACGAACUGAGGAUGAAAGCGGGGGACCGUAAGGCCUCGCGCGAUCGGAGCGGCCGAUGUCAGAUUAGGUAGUUGGUGGGGUAAAGGCUCACCAAGCCGACGAUCUGUAGCUGGUCUGAGAGGACGACCAGCCACACUGGGACUGAGACACGGCCCAGACUCCUACGGGAGGCAGCAGUGGGGAAUUUUGGACAAUGGGCGCAAGCCUGAUACAGCAAUGCCGCGUGCAGGAAGAAGGCCUUCGGGUUGUAAACUGCUUUUGUACGGAGCGAAAAGGCUCUCUCUAAUACAGGGGGCUCAUGACGGUACCGUAAGAAUAAGCACCGGCUAACUACGUGCCAGCCGCCGCUGUAA